ACCUCGGAUCAGGUAGGGAUACCCGCUGAACUUAAGCAUAUCAAUAAGCGGAGGAAAAGAAACCAACAGGGAUUGCCCUAGUAACGGCGAGUGAAGCGGCAAGAGCUCAAAUUUGAAAGCUGGCCCCCUCGGGGCCCGCAUUGUAAUUUGCAGAGGAUGCUUCGGGCGUGGCCCCUGUCUAAGUGCCCUGGAACGGGCCGUCAGAGAGGGUGAGAAUCCCGUAUGGGAUGGGGUGCCCACGCCCGUGUGAAGCUCCUUCGACGAGUCGAGUUGUUUGGGAAUGCAGCUCUAAAUGGGUGGUAAAUUUCAUCUAAAGCUAAAUAUUGGCCGGAGACCGAUAGCGCACAAGUAGAGUGAUCGAAAGAUGAAAAGCACUUUGAAAAGAGAGUUAAAAAGCACGUGAAAUUGUUGAAAGGGAAGCGCUUGCGACCAGACUCGCCCCAGGGGUUCAACCGGCUUUCGGGCCGGUGUACUUCCCCCGGGGCGGGCCAGCGUCGGUUUUGGCGGCCGGUCAAAGGCCCCUGGAAUGUAACGCCCCCCGGGGCGUCUUAUAGCCAGGGGUGCCAUGCGGCCCGCCGGGACCGAGGAACGCGCUUCGGCUCGGACGCUGGCAUAA
This 616-nucleotide ribosomal RNA is filed under the name Penicillium fellutanum. Its description in RNAcentral is "eukaryotic LSU rRNA". It matches the Rfam family "Eukaryotic large subunit ribosomal RNA", at positions 1 to 634 of the family's 3401-position model. Lineage: Eukaryota; Fungi; Ascomycota; Eurotiomycetes; Eurotiales; Aspergillaceae. The record is from RNAcentral.